This is a regulatory RNA element of Geothermobacter sp., 89 nucleotides long. It matches the Rfam family "L20-Deltaproteobacteria ribosomal protein leader". NCBI's taxonomy places the organism in Bacteria, Pseudomonadati, Thermodesulfobacteriota, Desulfuromonadia, Desulfuromonadales, Geothermobacteraceae. The record is from Rfam.
GGUCGUGAACUGAGGGGACAACUGUCUCCCCCUUCAGAUCCGGCCCGGCACCGCGGAAUCAAUCCGCGAAAUCUUACCCACAGAAGGAG